GUGAGUAGUUCAGAGUUGAUCCUGGCUCAGGAUGAACGCUGGCGGCGUGCUUAACACAUGCAAGUCGAACGAAGAAAACUUGGAUUGAGAGCUUCGGCAGGAUUUCAUUUUUUCUUAGUGGCGGACGGGUGAGUAACGUGUGGGCAACCUGCCCUGUACUGUGGAAUAAUCACUGGAAACGGUGACUAAUACCGCAUGUCAUCACUGGAAGGCAUCUUCCGGUGAAAAAAGGAGCAAUUCGGUACAGGAUGGGCCCGCAUCUGAUUAGCUAGUUGGUGAGAUAACAGCCCACCAAGGCGACGAUCAGUAGCCGACCUGAGAGGGUGAUCGGCCACAUUGGGACUGAGACACGGCCCAA
Molecule: ribosomal RNA, 358 nt
Filed under: uncultured bacterium
Lineage: Bacteria
Description: bacterial SSU rRNA
Rfam family: Bacterial small subunit ribosomal RNA
Source: RNAcentral